GACGAACGCUGGCGGCGUGCUUAACACAUGCAAGUCGAACGGAGCGCCUAUGACAGAGACUUCGGUCAAUAGAUUAGGUUGCUUAGUGGCGGACUGGUGAGUAACGCGUGAGGAACCUGCCUUUCAGAGGGGGACAACAGUUGGAAACGACUGCUAAUACCGCAUGACGCAUGACUGGGGCAUCCCGGACAUGCCAAAGGCCGGGCAACCGGUCACUGAAGGAUGGGCCUGCGUCUGAUUAGCUAGUUGGUGGGGUAACGGCUCACCAAGGGCGACGAUCAGUAGCCGGUCUGAGAGGAUGAACGGCCACAUUGGGACUGAGACACGGCCCAAACUCCUACGGGAGGCAGCAGUGGGGAAUCUUCCGCAAUGGGCGCAAGCCUGACGGAGCAACGCCGCGUGAGUGAAGAAGGUUUUCGGAUCGUAAAGCUCUGUUGAGAGGGACGAGAGGCAAGGCUAGGAAAUGAGCUUUGUAGGACGGUACCUUUCGAGGAAG
Molecule: ribosomal RNA, 496 nt
Filed under: uncultured bacterium
Lineage: Bacteria
Description: bacterial SSU rRNA
Rfam family: Bacterial small subunit ribosomal RNA
Source: RNAcentral